This is a long non-coding RNA of Anser brachyrhynchus (Pink-footed goose), 1501 nucleotides long. NCBI's taxonomy places the organism in Eukaryota, Metazoa, Chordata, Aves, Anseriformes, Anatidae. The record is from Ensembl.
CUUGGUUAAAAAAACAAAAAGAGGAGUAGAGGGAAAGCUGAAAUAUGACAUUAUUUGUUCUAGGGAUCAUGAGGUUCCUUUUGUGCUCAGGUUAAUUGUUCACACCUGUAUGCAAUUCAUUCAGGUAAAUCCAGAUCAUGUGAUGCUUCAAUUUGUACUAACCUCAGAGAUGAUAACUUGCAGCUGUUCUUUAAGAUAUGCAGUAGCAUAAAAAGUAGAGGCCUAUGACAUGUGAAGAAGUUGAAUGUUUCUUUAUUUUUAAGCUGGUUGAUGUUUAGAAGAGUGAGUUGAUGCAAGAUGGAGAGAGGAGAAAGAAAAGGAGCCUACCAAGAAAUAGCAGCACAAAGGACAGUGAACAAGAUCAUGUUGUCCAGAUGCCAAUUUCAGGAAAAACAGCUGUCCAGAUUUUAGGGAGAAAACUACUUCCUCAAGGCACCUGGAGUGAGGAGAAGAAGAAAGAAAAGAAGAAAAUACAGAUAUUUACAACAUCCAAGAGACAGUUCUUGACAUUGAUUAAAAGACAUUUCUCAGUGCAGGGAUGAUUUAUUAAAAAAAGGGUACUGAAGUUUCUUCUAAAUGAAGUUACCUUACAUUUAUCUGUCAUAUAAAUGUGCUUUGAUUAACCUGUUUGAAAAUGAUAGAGAAAUAGAACCCAGCGCCAAUUUAAUAACUAAUAUUCCUAUUACCUCUGCCUGUGAGAAAGCCUGUGGGAGAAAGAAAAAGCACUGGACAUUUUGUAAUGUUCACCAUGUAAAACUUUGUUCUCCCAAGUCCUGUUUGUUCAAAAACCUGUCAUGCAAAAAUGUUGCAAAUCUCUAGUCUGCAAAAUAUAUACAACCAUAGUGUUUGGCAGACCUUGGGGAACUUCCAGCAAAACAGUUUAAUUGGAAAAUGCCAUUUCAUUAAACCCAAACUCUUACUCCAGAUCUCUACAGCUGAGCAAAUACCUAGUGCUCUUAACAAUGAAUCUGACAAGGACAUGAGUUUUACUGAACAAAUGUAAGGGUUGGGAUGGUUUGUAUAAAUCAUUAACAUUUAUUUUUAGAUUUUAUUUUUCUGGAAUGGGAAAUGCUGAACUUCAGCUCAAUCUGGACAUUGGCAGAAGGAUCACUUGUUGCGUGCCUUUCUCUAUCACUUUAUUUCCUGGCUAGCAUGCAUCCACGUUAGUAACUAUUGAGCUCCUCAAAGUUAUCAAUUACUUAAUAAUUGAAAAAAAACAUAUAUAAAAAAAACACACACACAAAAAUGAGGCUCUUAAAAUACAGACUGAUAUAUAAUUAAUAGGGGCCUAGAUGGAGUGGAGGAAAAGAGGUAUUCUCUUUCAUUUUCUAUCACUUAACUUCAUACACAUCAGCUUUUUUGGUAUCCUAAAAGUUGCAACUAUAUGGUACAACAAAAAAAGGGGCUCAAUGCAUGUCCUGAAUCAGACUCUGAUGAUUAGAAAUGUUGCUUCUAUGGAGCAUGGCAAUGAAGAAAUAAAAUUUAGGUAAAAUUCUGUUCA